AAAAAUAAAUAAUACUGAGAACAUGAGUUGUCCAGUCCUUGAAAACUUCUUCCCUGCAAAUCUUGGCACUGUCAGUGGUGAGCAUGGUGAAAGAUUUCACCAGAAAAUCGUGGUCAUGAAGAAAAGAUAUCAAGGAAACUGGAAUCCAUCAGUGCUGGCGGAUCAUUGUUGGACGUUUAAGUGAGAAGCCUCAGAUGACAUUAACUGACUUGAACAGG
This is a long non-coding RNA of Hypanus sabinus (Atlantic stingray), 218 nucleotides long. RefSeq lists it as uncharacterized. The record is from RefSeq and is a predicted model, not a curated record. The transcript is spliced from 3 exons. NCBI's taxonomy places the organism in Eukaryota, Metazoa, Chordata, Chondrichthyes, Myliobatiformes, Dasyatidae.